This 927-nucleotide ribosomal RNA is filed under the name Curvibasidium cygneicollum. RNAcentral's name for it is "LSU rRNA". It matches the Rfam family "Eukaryotic large subunit ribosomal RNA", at positions 38 to 968 of the family's 3401-position model. Lineage: Eukaryota; Fungi; Basidiomycota; Microbotryomycetes. The record is from RNAcentral.
GCAUAUCAAUAAGCGGAGGAAAAGAAACUAACAAGGAUUCCCCUAGUAACGGCGAGUGAAGCGGGAAGAGCUCAAAUUUGUAAUCUGGCACUUUCAGUGUCCGAGUUGUAAUCUCGAGAAGUGUUUUCCGCGCCGGACUGCAUACAAGUCUGUUGGAAUACAGCGUCAUAGUGGUGAGAACCCCGUAACUGAUGCAGAUGCCCGGUGCUUUGUGAUACACUUUCGAAGAGUCGAGUUGUUUGGGAAUGCAGCUCAAAUUGGGUGGUAAAUUCCAUCUAAAGCUAAAUAUUGGCGAGAGACCGAUAGCGAACAAGUACCGUGAGGGAAAGAUGAAAAGCACUUUGGAAAGAGAGUUAACAGUACGUGAAAUUGUUGGAAGGGAAACGAUUGAAGUCAGACUUGUUAUCUGGAGUUCAGCCUUUCGGUGUACUCUCCAGUUUACAGGCCAGCAUCAGUUUUCGGGGCGGGAAAAUCGUAAUUUGAAGGUAGCAGCCUAGCUGUGUUAUAGCUUUUUACUGGAUUCCGCUUUGGGGACUGAGGAACGCAGUGUGCUUUUAGCAAUACCCUCGGGUAUUUCACACUUAGGAUGCUGGUGGAAUGGCUUUAAACGACCCGUCUUGAAACACGGACCAAGGAGUCUAACAUGCUUGCGAGUAUUUGGGUGUCAAACCCGGAUGCGCAAUGAAAGUGAAUGAAGGUGGGAUCCGCAAGGUGCACCAUCGACCGAUCUGGAUUUUUUAAGAUGGAUUUGAGUAAGAGCAAUUAUGUUGGGACCCGAAAGAUGGUGAACUAUGCCUGAAUAGGGCGAAGCCAGAGGAAACUCUGGUGGAGGCUCGUAGCGGUUCUGACGUGCAAAUCGAUCGUCAAAUUUGGGUAUAGGGGCGAAAGACUAAUCGAACCAUCUAGUAGCUGGUUCCUGCCGAGUUU